CUUGAAGCUCUGUCACGGCAUAAUCUCUUAUAAAUAAAUGUCAGUGUAGUCACUGAAUGCAGACUGGAUUUUUGCCUGACUACGGUGCUCAGCCUUCUAGACAAUAGUUAUGCUAAGGGAUUAUCUUUUAACAUUGUGCAGUUAUCUCCUUUGUUUGUUUUCUUUUUUCAUUAUUCACAUAAGCCAAGGGAAAUGAAAAGCAUCUUAUUUCAGGCAAAAAGGCCUGUGAAUGAUUAACUCUGGUUCCAUGCGUUGGGACUUUGCAUAGCAACCCCGUGGCUUGCAACGACAAAAAAGCUCAAGGCAGGAACAGCAGCCCAGGGACCUGAGACCAGCGUUCUCAAAUGAAGGUGCCAGAUCUGCUGUUAGAGGAGAAUUCUUCUGUCCUAGCUGUGUCUCUGUGAUCUGUGGAUGAGGGUGGGAAAGCACCACUCAGUCAAUUGGGGUGUACAAAAUGGAGUUUGAGAAGGUCUCACAUCCAGGUUGUUUUGAAGCAAAGUCCAAGCAUUGUAUCACUUCAUCUGCAAAUAUUUCAAUAAGUACCCAAAAGUGGUUGGACUGAGUCCCAUGAAGCCAGAUCACUUCUGACUGCAAGGAGCUUGGAAAAGCAAGUAUCUGGAUCUUUUACCAGCUAAAUUUGGAGAAUUAUUGAUCAAAUUUGGAUCUCUGUGUGCUGUCCUCCAAUUUAAUACUUUCUGUGUUGCUGUUUUAUUUUCUUUCUUCUGGAACCUGGCAAAGUGCGUCAAGCGAUGAGGCUUCCUCUUUGAAGAUCACAGGUGAGAAGAUUAGGUGCUUUCUCAGAAGCCCAGCAACCUGAUGGGAGUGUGGAGUGAGCAAGACCCAAAUCGGAGCUUCAUCCCUGCAUGGUUCAUUUUGCUUAUUUGGCAAACUUGCCCUGCAGAAUCUACUCAAGCUUCCUCAGUUUCUCAAAUCAUUCUUGGGCAACAAAUGAACAAGAAAGAGGACGUCUUAUUAUCUGGUGUCUGGCUUGCUGAUUUAAUAACCUAGGAGACAGUGUUUGAAGAACACAAACUCUAAAGUCCUUCACUUAAAAAAAAAAAAAAACUUUCCCAAAUUGCUUACCAUUUGGAAAAAUUGCCUUACCUUCUUCAGUCAUCUCUGAUGUUGUCAUCCUCAGAGUAAGAAGUACGCAUUCAUAAGGAACCAUAACGUCCUUCAGGAAAUCCAGUACACCCUACAAUUUUACCUAAAACUUUGAUGUUGUUUUUUCUGAGCAUUUUACCUUCUAGGGAAAUGGAUCUCAUGCUGUUUAUCAGUUUCUGAAAGUUGUUAUUAAUCUCCCCUCAUCCCAAAAUUGAAGAACUUUGCUUAAAUCUUAGAAUCAGAACUUUGGCUCCAGUAAUAAAGACUUUUCAAUAUCUUUAUCUGCCAUUGAGUCUUACCUAACGAAAUAAAGCCUCCAAAGUGGGAAUUUGAAAUGUUUUAGAAUCUUUUUUUUUCCUUUUGACAUAGUGAUUGGUGGGAUGCUACAGGCAGUUAGUGGUUAGGGUCCAGAAAUGCCAGACAUCUUGCAGUGAGAGGGAUAGUCUGUACAAGGAAGAAUUCUCACAUGUUCUGACUAACACUGGAUAUUAUUACAGGUGAAAACAUUGGAAUCUUGUGAACCUCAACCUGUGUUUUACAUAUGUAUACAUGAAGUGAGUUUUGUAUGCUUUAUUUUUUCACUAUUUGAAAAAUGUAACUGCUUAUUUUCUAUUGUUGUGUAACAAAUCACUAUGCACUUAGCAGC
RNAcentral lists this long non-coding RNA (1750 nucleotides) under Homo sapiens (human). RNAcentral describes it as "HSALNT0321896". Lineage: Eukaryota; Metazoa; Chordata; Mammalia; Primates; Hominidae. The record is from RNAcentral.